UACGAAGGGGGCUAGCGUUGCUCGGAAUCACUGGGCGUAAAGCGCACGUAGGCGGAUUGCUAAGUCAGGGGUGAAAUCCUGGAGCUCAACUCCAGAACUGCCCUUGAUACUGGCGGUCUCGAGUCCGGGAGAGGUGAGUGGAACUGCGAGUGUAGAGGUGAAAUUCGUAGAUAUUCGCAAGAACACCAGUGGCGAAGGCGGCUCACUGGCCCGGUACUGACGCUGAGGUGCGAAAGCAUGGGGAGCGAACAGG
Molecule: ribosomal RNA, 253 nt
Filed under: uncultured bacterium
Lineage: Bacteria
Description: partial 16S ribosomal RNA
Rfam family: Bacterial small subunit ribosomal RNA
Source: RNAcentral